GGAAUAUUGCACAAUGGGCGCAAGCCUGAUGCAGCCAUGCCGCGUGUAUGAAGAAGGCCCUCGGGUUGUAAAGAACUUUCAGCGGGGAGGAAGGCGAUGUGGUUAAUAACCGCGUCGAUCGACGUUACCCGCAGAAGAAGCACCGGCUAACUCCGUUCCAGCAGCCGCGGUAAUACGGAGGGUGCAAGCGUUAAUCGGAAUUACUGGGCGUAAAGCGCACGCAGGCUGUCUGUCAAGUCGGAUGUGAAAUCCCCGGGCUCAACCUGGGAGCUGCAUCCGAAACUGGCAGGCUUGAGUCUCGUAGAGGGGGGUAGAAUUCCAGGUGUAGCGGUGAAAUGCGUAGAGAUCUGGAGGAAUACCGGUGGCGAAGGCGGCCCCCUGGACAAAGACUGACGCUCAGGUGCGAAAGCGUGGGGAGCA
This 420-nucleotide ribosomal RNA is filed under the name uncultured bacterium. RNAcentral describes it as "bacterial SSU rRNA". It matches the Rfam family "Bacterial small subunit ribosomal RNA", at positions 358 to 770 of the family's 1533-position model. The record is from RNAcentral.